Molecule: non-coding RNA, 94 nt
Organism: Streptomyces bungoensis
Lineage: Bacteria; Bacillati; Actinomycetota; Actinomycetes; Kitasatosporales; Streptomycetaceae
Source: Rfam
GGAGAGGUGCCCGGAGCGGCUCAUCGGGGACCACGAGCACGACUCGAGGUCGGGCCUUCACCGGCCCACGCAGGUUCGAAUCCUGCCCUCUCCG